GACGAACGCUGGCGGCGUGCCUAACACAUGCAAGUCGAACGAAGUAAGUUGCUUCACCAAGUGUUGAAUAGCUACCCCCAAGCGCAUUUGCCAAAGGGUAAGCAAAAAGUACUAUCAAUUAAAUAAAAUGGUGAAACAAAAGAAUAGCGAAGAAGAAGCAAAUGCGCUUCACGCUAAUUCCAAGUACCAACACAAAACAAAUUCAAUGUUUGGUGAAGCAACUUGCUUAGUGGCGGACGGGUGAGUAACGCGUGAACAAUCUGCCCCGUACAAAGGGAUAGCCUCGGGAAACCGGGAUUAAAACCAUAUAACACUUAACUGCCGCAUGGUAGUGAAGUCAAAUCGAUUAAGAGGUAUGGGAUGAGUUCGCGUCUGAUUAGCUAGUUGGUGAGGUAAGGGCUCACCAAGGCGACGAUCAGUAGCCGGCCUGAGAGGGUGAACGGCCACACUGGAACUGAGACACGGUCCAGACUCCUACGGGAGGCAGCAGUGGGAAUAUUGCACAAUGGA
This 510-nucleotide ribosomal RNA is filed under the name uncultured bacterium. Its description in RNAcentral is "bacterial SSU rRNA". It matches the Rfam family "Bacterial small subunit ribosomal RNA", at positions 28 to 375 of the family's 1533-position model. The record is from RNAcentral.